This 429-nucleotide ribosomal RNA is filed under the name Acidobacteriota bacterium. RNAcentral's name for it is "Acidobacteria bacterium partial 16S ribosomal RNA". It matches the Rfam family "Bacterial small subunit ribosomal RNA", at positions 355 to 776 of the family's 1533-position model. The record is from RNAcentral. Lineage: Bacteria; Pseudomonadati; Acidobacteriota.
UGGGGAAUUUUGGACAAUGGGGGAAACCCUGAUCCAGCCAUCCCGCGCGUCCGAUGAAGGCCUUCGGGUUGUAAAGCACUUUUGGCAGGAAAGAAACGUCAUGGGUUAAUACCCCGUGAAACUGACGGUACCUGCAGAAUAAGCACCGGCUAACUAUGUGCCAGCAGCCGCGGUAAUACGUAGGGUGCAAGCGUUAAUCGGAAUUACUGGGCGUAAAGCGUGCGCAGGCGGUUCGGAAAGGAAGAUGUGAAAUCCCAGAGCUCAACUUUGGAACGGCAUUUGUAACUACCGGGCUAGAGUGUGUCAGAGGGAGGUGGAAUUCCGCGUGUAGCAGUGAAAUGCGUAGAUAUGCGGAGGAACACCGAUGGCGAAGGCAGCCUCCUGGGAUAACACUGACGCUCAUGCACGAAAGCGUGGGGAGCAAACAGG